GGGUAGAGCUCAGUGGUAGAGCAUGUGCUUAGCAUGCACAGGAUCUUGGGUUCAAUUCCCAGUCAUUCCA
Molecule: transfer RNA, 70 nt
Filed under: Camelus bactrianus (Bactrian camel)
Lineage: Eukaryota; Metazoa; Chordata; Mammalia; Artiodactyla; Camelidae
Also listed under: 2 other names
Rfam family: tRNA
About the family: Transfer RNA (tRNA) molecules are approximately 80 nucleotides in length. Their secondary structure includes four short double-helical elements and three loops (D, anti-codon, and T loops).
Source: Rfam by way of RNAcentral